Molecule: long non-coding RNA, 735 nt
Organism: Hirundo rustica (Barn swallow)
Lineage: Eukaryota; Metazoa; Chordata; Aves; Passeriformes; Hirundinidae
Exons: 3
Source: RefSeq, a predicted model, not a curated record
CUAUCACACUUCACUUACCCUGAAUAUUUCUCCUGGAAAGCAGUCUGCACAGGAGGAAGAAAGCACCCUGGGUGCUGAGGCUGUGGGGUGAGUUGGUGAGGAGCUGACCCUCUGGGUGUUCCACAGCCAGACUCCUUCAAGAGAGGCAAAGUGUCAGUUUGAACAGCCUCCUUCACCAGGAAACAGCAUCCAGCACUCACUCAGAGCACAGUGAGAGUUGAACAGAACACCAGCGUCAGCAAAGCCAGUCUUCUCUUGCUGUCCCAAGGGCUUGCAGUGAGUGUGGCCCCUGAGACCUGGCAUACAGGACAAUUGACUGCCUGGGAGAGCUCAGACAACUACUACAACGCGCAAUAGACAACAACCCAGUACAAGCUGUGCUUCCACAGGGGCGCUCCAUGACUGCACUCCCAUUGCUUGGCUCAAGGGUCUGCUCUGCCACCCCUGAAAGCUGAAUUCAGAGCAGGCUAGUGUCAAAAGAGGUGGUUUCAUCUUUCCUCAGUCACCUUUCAGCCUGCCACUGGCCCCACGCUGUUGUGGUGUCCCUCAAACUGGUACCAGUGCUCACAUGGCCGUGCGAUGAGCUGGAUCCCACAGUCUGUCUGCCUCAAAGCUGAACUUUAAUUUUGUAACUGCCAGUGACAGGUAAAUUUUCAGCAGCUGGCUGCACAAAGGAAGGGCUGGGCCAAGGGAAGAGUUAAAGAGGGUAAGGAGAAGCUGAUGAGGUCUACAGGA